AAAAAAAGGAACAAAAAAAUAAAUAAAAGGACUGCAGAAGCAAAAGAAAAGGGGGAAAAAAAGGGGGUGAGGAAAGGGAGAGAGCAUACUUACUCCGUGCAAAGGCGACGAAACUGAGCCUCUUUUUUUUUUUGCCGCUGGACAGAGCGAGGCGGCCCGGCACAUGCACACCGCACGCGCACACACACACACACACGCACACACUCACUCGCACACACGCACAGACACACGCGCGCGCACACACACGCGCGCACGCACGCGCGGCCGCUGAAUAUUGACGCCGGGAUCCGCGUAAAGGUGAAGCCGGGCGGUGCCGAUAGUACAUACACAGCAGCCCCUGACAGCGCCUUGUCACUUGCGCGGCUCAGCGUCGCUUCGAGCGCUGUCGAGGAAACGCAGUCACCCAAUGAGGAGCGAAGGGAAACUGAGGCACGGGCUGUCCCGGGGGCACGCAGCCCCCCCGGCCCCACCUCGCUCUGCAGGUGCCGUCCUCCCGCCCCGCACCCCGCUCACGUCCCAGCACGGCGGUUCGUAGUGUAACCCCGCCGCUGCCUGAAUGGUGAGCGCUCGAGAUUCUACCUCCUCCCGCCCCCAGUUGGUUCACAGUGAUAAAGUUUGGAUCCAAAGGCGCGCUCAGGUGUGGGGGCUCUGCUCCUGCCCUCGCUUUGCUGCUUGGUCACAAAGUUCAGCCGUGGGGCUGUGCUCAGCUGCGAGCUUCGGCCCCUCAGAAAUAAAUCCUUCUCCAAAUUCUGGUGCCUGUGACGAGGAAAUGAGCGCUGCGAGCUGACAGCUCUCUGCAUUCACAGCUCUGUCUUCGAGGGGGAAAAAAAAGAAAAGCAGAUGUGGGAAACUUAGGAAAACUUUUGAAACGUGCCCUUGGCCGUGGGUGAUCCCCCUGUCCCUUUGGAGGAUGGCAACAGGAUUGGAAGUGACAAGGGCUCACUGCUGGAAGUGUCUUUGCUUUGAUCACUCUCCUCGCUGUGUCUGCUCACUCCGAGCGAGGGAAAGGGCUGCACUGCCGGUUUUCUUUUCUUUUUCUUUGUUUUUAAAGGGGGAUGGGAGGGGGAUAUAUUUUUAAAGGUGGGAUAUAUCCGAGUACUUCAUGUGUAAAGAACGGUCCCUGUCACAAGGGCCUGAUUCUGCUCUUAUUGACGCCGCCGCGAAUUCAUCCAGGGAGCAUCAGCAGCGCGUGUGCGGGGCAGAGGAGCGCUGGGUGCGGGUGUGCGUUGCUGCGGGGUCUGAGCCUUCCUCGGCCCCUCCUCGCAGACAAACCCUUGGAGGAGGAUGCACCAGAGGUGCCACAGCAGAGUGCACUUUAAUUCAAGAAG
Molecule: long non-coding RNA, 1328 nt
Filed under: Gallus gallus (chicken)
Lineage: Eukaryota; Metazoa; Chordata; Aves; Galliformes; Phasianidae
Description: lncRNA (ENSGALG00010021395.1)
Source: RNAcentral